This 433-nucleotide ribosomal RNA is filed under the name uncultured bacterium. Its description in RNAcentral is "partial 16S ribosomal RNA". It matches the Rfam family "Bacterial small subunit ribosomal RNA", at positions 29 to 507 of the family's 1533-position model. The record is from RNAcentral.
AACGAACGCUGGCGGCAUGCCUAACACAUGCAAGUCGAACGAACCCGCCGGGGUUAUUGGCGCACGGGUGCGGAAGGCGGGGGGACCUGCCCGUAGGUUCGGAAUACCUCAGAGUGAUUUAAGCUAAUACCGGAUAAUGUCUUAUCACCUAAGAGCUCUCGCCUAUGGAUGGGCCUGCGUUGGAUUCGUUAGUUGGUGGGGUAAUGGCCUACCAUGGGGUCGAUCCAUAGCUGGUGUGAGAGCACGACCAGACACAGUGGGAGUGAGACACGGGCCAGACUCCUACGGGAGGCAGCAGUGGGGAAUAUUGGAGAAUGGGCGAAAGACGGAGCAAGCAAUGCCGCGUGAGGGAUGAAGGCGUGAGGGUUGUAAAUUUCUUUUGUCAGGGAGGAUAAUGACAGUACCGGGGUAAAAAGCCCCGGCUAACUCCGUG